GGAAAAACCACAAAAGUAUAACGGAUUCGAAACUUAAAAAGUGACGCCCUCUCUGCUCACGUGUACGAUUAAUUCCCGGGAUUCGCAUCGCAGCCAGCCAUGGCCGAAAUGCGAAAUCUCACACCGAUCUGAUCUCCAGCUCACGACCCGGCCCUUCCCACUCCUCCUCUCUCUCUCACUUAAUUUUCCACUGUAACUCCCUCACUGUCAAUCAUUGCGAUACUCUCUGUGCCUUCAUUGCCCAUUUCCUUUUCUUCUUUUAAAUUUUCAAUUCCUAACCCAUCUCUACUUCUUCAACCUCCAUUCUCUUUUUAAACCUUCUCUUGCCU
This 329-nucleotide unclassified non-coding RNA is filed under the name Hevea brasiliensis (rubber tree). Lineage: Eukaryota; Viridiplantae; Streptophyta; Magnoliopsida; Malpighiales; Euphorbiaceae. The record is from RNAcentral.